This 447-nucleotide ribosomal RNA is filed under the name uncultured bacterium. RNAcentral's name for it is "partial 16S ribosomal RNA". It matches the Rfam family "Bacterial small subunit ribosomal RNA", at positions 29 to 523 of the family's 1533-position model. The record is from RNAcentral.
AGCGAACGCUGGCGGCAGGCCUAACACAUGCAAGUCGAACGCCCAGCAAUGGGAGUGGCAGACGGGUGAGGAACACGUGGGAACGUGCCUUUUGGUUCGGAAUAACUCAGGGAAACUUGUGCUAAUACCGGAUAAGCCCUUCGGGGGAAAGAUUUAUCGCCAAAAGAUCGGCCCGCGUCUGAUUAGCUAGUUGGCGAGGUAAAGGCUCACCAAGGCGACGAUCAGUAGCUGGUCUGAGAGGAUGAUCAGCCACACUGGGACUGAGACACGGCCCAGACUCCUAGGGGAGGCAGCAGUGGGGAAUAUUGGAAAAUGGGGGCAACCCUGAUCCAGCCAGGCCGCGUGAGUGAUGAAGGUCUUCGGAUUGUAAAGCUCUUUUGGCGGGGACGAUAAUGACGGUACCCGCAGAAUAAGCCCCGGCUAACUUCGUGCCAGCCGCCGCGGUAA